GAUCCUGGCUCAGAAUCAACGCUGGCGGCGCGCUUAACACAUGCAAGUCGCACGAGAAAGUGGAGCAAUCCAUGAGUAAAGUGGCGUACGGGUGAGUAACACGUGGAUGAUCUACCUCUUAGUGGGGAAUAACCAUGGGAAACCGUGGCUAAUACCGCAUAAGCUCUAGCGAGGAAAGCAGCAAUGCGCUGAGAGAGGAGUCCGCGGCCGAUUAGCUAGUUGGCAGGGUAAAAGCCUACCAAGGCAGAGAUCGGUAGCCGGCCUGAGAGGGCACACGGCCACACUGGCACUGAAACACGGGCCAGACUCCUACGGGAGGCAGCAGUGGGGAAUCUUGCACAAUGGGGGCAACCCUGAUGCAGCGACGCCGCGUGAGCGAUGAAGCCCUUCGGGGUGUAAAGCUCUUUCGGCAGGGAAGAUAAUGACGGUACCUGCAGAAGCAGCUGCGGCUAACUACGUGCCAGCAGCCGCGGUAAUACGUAGGCAGCGAGCGUUGUUCGGAGUUACUGGGCGUAAAGGGUGUGUAGGCGGUUGUUUAAGUUUGGUGUGAAAUCUCCCGGCUCAACUGGGAGGGUGCGCCGAAUACUGAAUGACUUCGAGUGCGGGAGAGGAAAGUGGAAUUCCUGGUGUAGCGGUGAAAUGCGUAGAUAUCAGGAGGAACACUGGUGGUGUAGACGGCUUUCUGGACCG
RNAcentral lists this ribosomal RNA (690 nucleotides) under uncultured Acidobacteriota bacterium. RNAcentral's name for it is "bacterial SSU rRNA". It matches the Rfam family "Bacterial small subunit ribosomal RNA", at positions 15 to 736 of the family's 1533-position model. The record is from RNAcentral. Lineage: Bacteria; Pseudomonadati; Acidobacteriota.